CAAGCAUCCUCCUUACUGAAUUUAGAUUUUGUUCUGAUUUUGUGGCCUGCGUUUCUUCUUACUGCCCUGCUCUGCGGCCCUGCUCUUCCUGGGUUUGGGUAUCCUCAUGGAUGGCCUUGGGGAAGGCCUCCGGCCGGACGAUCUGGUGACGUAAUCCCAUCUGACGCUCAGCCUUGGAUUUUGAAAAGGCACGACUGUCCUGUCUGAUGGACAGGAUGCAGAAGUCUUUGGGAAUGGGCUUUUUGCCAGAAUAAAUAAAAGAAGACAAUUGGCAAAAGAUGGACUGUACCCCACGACCCCAGGCUGCUGUGUGGAGAGCCUUGUCCUCUCCUCUGCCCACGGUCACCAGUGAGCACCAGGGACGGGGUUUCCUGCUGCACCUGGGCCUCUUCCUGCUGCCAGGAGCUGCCUUGCUGCCUCCACUUGUGACAGUCCACCCCCACACCCCCGCCACCCCCCAGUGAGAGGAUUUCCAGGGCCCACCCAGCUCCCAUCCCUGUUCUCUCUGCUGCUUUCGAGGUCACCCUGGGCUGGAAGGGGUGCCUGGGAUGCUGCUCAGAUGUCUUGGCCGCCCUCCCACCCCCUACACCCCACUCCUGGUUUUCAGGAUGAAAUUGUCCUCAAAUAAAGCAAGCUUUUGAGUCAA
Molecule: small RNA, 646 nt
Filed under: Pongo abelii (Sumatran orangutan)
Lineage: Eukaryota; Metazoa; Chordata; Mammalia; Primates; Hominidae
Description: sense intronic
Source: RNAcentral